Molecule: ribosomal RNA, 468 nt
Filed under: uncultured bacterium
Lineage: Bacteria
Description: partial 16S ribosomal RNA
Rfam family: Bacterial small subunit ribosomal RNA
Source: RNAcentral
GACGAACGCUGGCGGCGUGCUUAACACAUGCAAGUCGAACGGAAAGGCCCUGCUUUUGUGGGGUGCUCGAGUGGCGAACGGGUGAGUAACACGUGAGUAACCUGCCCUUGACUUUGGGAUAACUUCAGGAAACUGGGGCUAAUACCGGAUAGGAGCUCCUGCUGCAUGGUGGGGGUUGGAAAGUUUCGGCGGUUGGGGAUGGACUCGCGGCUUAUCAGCUUGUUGGUGGGGUAGUGGCUUACCAAGGCUUUGACGGGUAGCCGGCCUGAGAGGGUAACCGGCCACAUUGGGACUGAGAUACGGCCCAGACUCCUACGGGAGGCAGCAGUGGGGAAUAUUGCACAAUGGACGGAAGCCUGAUGCAGCAACGCCGCGUGCGGGAUGACGGCCUUCGGGUUGUAAACCGCUUUCGCCUGUGACGAAGCGUGAGUGACGGUAAUGGGUAAAGAAGCACCGGCUAACUACGUG